GGAAGAACCGCCGCGCGGAGCCUUCCGGACUUCGGUUCCACCUCCCCGCUGCAAAUCUGUGCUCUGCGCGCGCGGCCGCCAGCCGGGCAAAGAUCUGGCUGCUUGUGGGAAAAGAUAGUAACCUGGAAACAGGCCAUCCUCAACAAGUAUAAUGCUAGGUAUAGACAGUGUCUCUUGACUCCCAGCUUUAAAAGAUGAAGAUGCCAGCAUCUCUAACCUUCCAGUUGUAUCCUGUGUUUUGGACUCCCUGUUUUCUUUCCUGGUUUAACCCCUCAUCUUUUUGAAGCACACCUUCAAGUAGUUUUCUAAGAAAAAGAGCUAGUAGGUAAAAUUUCUAUGUUCUUGCAUGUCUGUCUGAAUAUUUAAUCUUAUACUUUAAUUCUUUGGUUAAUUACAAACUUCUAGAAAAAAGAAUUUUCCCUCUGAAUUAUUUUAAAUUAAGAAAUUUAAAAAUUAUUUGCUAUUUUCCCUUACAGCUUUGUUAUGUAUCAGUUGUAUUUCUUAAAUUCCUUACUUUUCAUUUUGAAAAAUAUCAAAUCUAUAAAAAAAUGGAAGGAAUAGUGAAAAGAACACCUAUAUGUCCUUCACAUAGAUCCACUAAUCAUUAAGAUUUUGCCAUAUUUGGUAUAUCUUUCUGUCUACACACAUGUGGUGUGCAUGCAUACACACACACACACACACACACACACACACACACACACAAAUGCACAUACACAUGCACAGUUUUUCUGAACCAUUUAAUGUAACUUUCAGAUAUCAUGUCACUUCACCCCAAGUAUAUAUAUCCUAAGAACAAAGACAUUCUCAUGCAUAACUACACUACAGUUAUUGUACUCAAUAAAGUAAUGUAAAUAAAAUAAUAUCAUCUAACUGAUAUACAACCCACUUUUGUCUCUCUCUAAUUGUUCAAAUAAACUUCUCCACAGCUGUUUGUUUUCUUGUCAAUCCAUGAUUCAGUUGUGUUUAAUAGUCAAUCUCUUUGAAGGUAUGUCAUCUGUUUUCUAACAUUUGGUGUUGGUGAUAAAAAAUCUGAAUUUUGUUCCUUCAUAAGUGGUAUUUUUUUCCUUGCGGAAGCUUUUAGAGUAUUUUCUUUUUUUCCCAGUGUUCUAAAAUUUUGCAGACACAUGGGUCUCUUAAAAGACCUUGUGCUGUUUGCUCUGUAGGUACUUUCAAUCUGAAAACGUAUAACUUUAACCUUUUGGAGAUAUUGUUGUAUUGCUCAUUUGAUAAUGUUUCCCCUCUGAUUUCUAUCUUUCUUUAUUUGGAAUGCCUGUAAAACUGGGCCUCCUGGAAAGGUCUUCUGAGUCUCAUUUCUUUCAUGUCUCCCAUCUCAUGGUCUUUUUGCUCUGCUUUCUGGAAGAUUUCUUCUGUUUUAUCUUCUGGGCCUUCAAUUUAUUUCAGCAUGAUAUUUUCAUUCUGUAAGAGCCCUUUCUUGUUCUCUGAUUGUGCCGUUUACUUAGUAUCUUGUUUAUGAUUUUGAAUGCAAUAACUUCCUGAAUAUAGUUAUGAUUAUAAUUAGAAAAAAAUUUUAAUUCUCUUCUAUUUCCUGAAUUAGUUCUCUUUCCUUUGAGGUUGUUUUUUUCCUGUUUGUGGUACUUUUUUAAGGCAGCCCUUAGCAAAUGAAUACAAAUUUCUGUCUCUCUUUCUUUCCCUCCCUUCCCUCCUUCUUCCUCCCUCCCUCCCUCCCUUCCUUCUCUCCUUCCUUCUUCCUUCUUUCUCCUCCUCUUCCUCCUCCUCCCUUUUCUUCUUUGUUAUUUAAUGGAAGAACUCUCAGGUGUUUCACUUGGAGAGUUGAUCUUUCUGGAGGCCCUGCAUUCUGAACGAGGGGAGGAGCUAAGGACUGGACUGUUUAAGACAGAGCCUUUGGAGUAAUCCCAGUGUUUUUGGCCCGGUCUCACUUGCGUACUCUGUCUUAUGCCUCUCUGGAAUUCUGUAGGGAAGAUCGGCAACCUCCUCUGCGGUGUGUCAUCUGUCAUUACUUCUGUAUCAGCUUGACACAGUCUCACAAUUUUUUUUUAAACUUUCUUCCGCUGAUGGACAACUUCUUGUUCUCAUUGUCAUUGUGGAUUUAUUCCCAUUUUAGUCCUUUACUAUCAUUUUUGUAGGGUCUUAGGGGGAAGAAGAGAAAAACUGAGUGGCCAGCCCAUCAUUUUGAAAAUAGCACUUAUUUUCUUGUCUCCAACUUGCAGUUUUGAUCUUUUUAGCUGAGAAGUUAUUUAGGAGGCUUGUAUCAGUCAGGAUGGGCUAGGCUAUGCUGUAUAACAAAACUCUCAAAAUAUUAAUGGCUUAAAAUAGCAAAAGUUUAUUUCUUGCUCACCGAGGUUGGCUGGUGGCUUUGCUCCAGGUCUCCCCACUCUGAGACCCAGGCUAACAGAGCAGCUGCCAUCUUGCUGUUACCAGUUGCCAUGGCAGAGAUAACCUAGUGAAUCAUGCACUGUCCCUUUAAGUUUCCACCCAGAAAUGAUACCCAUCAUUUCUCUUCAUAUUUCAUUGGCCAAAGAAAAUCAUUUGACUAUUCUUAACAUCAAAGGGGGUGAAGAAGUACAAUCCUACCCUGUGCCUAGAAAAUGGAAAGCUGGAAAUGUCUGUUGAACAGUACAAUGAACCACCAGAAGAUUGUAAAAUUUCAAGUGUUUGAAUUCUGAAAACUUUUAACACUUGAAUUAAAAAAAAAUUGCACUGGAAUCAGAGAAUGUAGGCUUGUAUAAAAUUCCUGAGAUUUUUUCAUUGCAUUAUUUGUGACUGAUUUUUUAAAAUGCUUUAUGGGAUUGGUAAAGGUGUACCCUUUGUUGGUUGUAGACAAGUUUGACACAUACACAACAUGAAGCUAUUUAUAUCUUCUAUAUACCUGUUAAUUUUUUUAUAUACCAGAUCUAUCAAAGACUAAAGAAUUAUUUAAAGUUCUUACCAUACUAUUGUGUUUCUAUAGAUUUCUCCUUGUUUUUAUAACAGUUUUGCACUCAUAUUUACCUUGUAAGAGUUCAUAGUAGAUAUGCAUUUUCUAUUUUGUUUAAAUAACCUUUGUCUCAAUUAA
Molecule: long non-coding RNA, 3034 nt
Organism: Aethalodelphis obliquidens (Pacific white-sided dolphin)
Lineage: Eukaryota; Metazoa; Chordata; Mammalia; Artiodactyla; Delphinidae
Exons: 3
Source: RefSeq, a predicted model, not a curated record